UAUUAAAGGCAACGCCUGCCCAGUGAAUAAUUAAACGGCCGCGGUAUCCUAACCGUGCAAAGGUAGCGUAAUCACCUGUCCAUUAAUUGUGGACCUGUAUGAAAGGCACAAUGAGGGCCCGACUGUCUCUUUUAGAAAAUCAAUUAAACUGAUCCUCCAGUCCAAAAGCUAGAAUACCCCCAUAAGACCAGAAGACCCUGUGAAACUUUAACUAAACUAUUAAAUCACAUAAUAGCUCCUUUCGGUUGGGGCGACCUUGGAAAGAAAAAGAACUUCCAAAUAUACAAACCAUACCACCACAAAGGCUAACAAGCCCACAACAGACCCAGCACAGCUGAUAAAUGAACCAAGCUACUCCAGGGAUAACAGCGCUAUCUUCUUCAAGAGCCCAUAUCAAAAAGAAGGUUUACGACCUCGAUGUUGGAUCAGGACAUCCUGAUGGUGCAACCGCUAUCAAAGGUUCGUUUGUUCAACGAUUACA
RNAcentral lists this ribosomal RNA (481 nucleotides) under Demansia vestigiata (black whip snake). Its description in RNAcentral is "partial 16S ribosomal RNA". It matches the Rfam family "Bacterial large subunit ribosomal RNA", at positions 1844 to 2592 of the family's 2925-position model. The record is from RNAcentral. Lineage: Eukaryota; Metazoa; Chordata; Lepidosauria; Squamata; Elapidae.